Molecule: ribosomal RNA, 371 nt
Filed under: uncultured bacterium
Lineage: Bacteria
Description: bacterial SSU rRNA
Rfam family: Bacterial small subunit ribosomal RNA
Source: RNAcentral
GUAGUCCACGCUGUAAACGAUGAGUGCUAGGUGUCGGCGUAAGUCGGUGCCGCAGUUAACACAAUAAGCACUCCGCCUGGGGAGUACGUGCGCAAGCAUGAAACUCAAAGGAAUUGACGGGGACCCGCACAAGCAGCGGAGCAUGUGGUUUAAUUCGAAGCAACGCGAAGAACCUUACCAGGGCUUGACAUACUGAGGACAUAUUUAGAGAUAAAUACUCCUCUUCGGAGGCCUCAAUACAGGUGGUGCAUGGUUGUCGUCAGCUCGUGUCGUGAGAUGUUGGGUUAAGUCCCGCAACGAGCGCAACCCUUAUCUUUAGUUGCCAGCAUUUCGGAUGGGAACUCUAAAGAGACUGCCGAUGAUAAAUCGGA